UUAGGGAUAUUCGUCAAUGGGGGAAACCCUGAACGAGCAAUGCCGCGUGAAUGAUGACGGUCCUUUGGAUUGUAAAAUUCUGUUGUUAGGGAAGAACGACCUAGGUAGGAAAUGACCUAGGAGUGACGGUACCUUUCAAGAAAGCUCCGGCUAACUACGUGCCAGCAGCCGCGGUAAUACGUAGGGAGCGAGCGUUAUCCGGAUUUAUUGGGUGUAAAGCGUGUGUAGGCGGUUUCUUAAGUCUGUGGUCUAAGCCCGAAGCUUAACUUCGGUUCGCCACAGAAACUGGGUUACUUGAGUGCAGUAGAGGCAAGUGGAAUUUCUAGUGUAGCGGUAAAAUGCGUAGAUAUUAGAAGGAACACCAGUGGCGAAGGCGACUUGCUGGGCUGUUACUGACGCU
This 400-nucleotide ribosomal RNA is filed under the name uncultured bacterium. RNAcentral's name for it is "bacterial SSU rRNA". It matches the Rfam family "Bacterial small subunit ribosomal RNA", at positions 355 to 747 of the family's 1533-position model. The record is from RNAcentral.